Molecule: transfer RNA, 70 nt
Filed under: Haemaphysalis longicornis (longhorned tick)
Lineage: Eukaryota; Metazoa; Arthropoda; Arachnida; Ixodida; Ixodidae
Rfam family: tRNA
About the family: Transfer RNA (tRNA) molecules are approximately 80 nucleotides in length.
Source: Rfam by way of RNAcentral
GCGUCGGUGGUUCAGUGGUAGAAUACUCGCCUGCCACGCGGGUGGCCCGGUUCGAUUCCCGGCCGACGCA